UUAUAACUGUAAUGUAGUUCAACACAAAUAUAUUAGUAUAUUUUAUUUAACAUAUACAGUAUAAAUAAUUAUACGAAAACGAAGAUACACUCUCAUACCAAAUAAUUACAUCUCAUGCUCAUGCUUAAUUAUGCUGCUUCCCCACAUUCAAUCAUCAUUACACCAUUUUCUCAAUCUCCGCCAACCUUUUUCAGAAAAUACCCUACUUUGUACAAGUUUUAUAAUCUUAACUUUUUUUCUCUAUGUUGAGUUUUUAAGUCCCUUGCGGAUUGAGUAUGAUACUCCGGUCGGCGUUUCAUUAAUAGACCCCAAAAAGUCGACAUAAUUUUUCUGGAGUGGGGUUAAAGGGUUCAGGCCACUGCCACUCACAAUUGUAAAAAAAAAAGGAGAGAAGUUAAUCGUAAAAAUGUACAUAAACAUAAGGUUAUAAAUCCUAAUAUGUGUAGGAACAAAGAUGUUAAUAGCUAUUUCAAAAUCAUAUGUUGUCGCAGAAACUGCGUCAUUAUGCUUAUUACCUACCACAUAUGCCGUCGCUAAAUACAUGAUUGUAGAAGGCAUGCAAUUUAAAAUAGCUCAAAUAUACAUGUUUAGAUUAGUCGUUUCUUGGGAAAUUUACAUAAUCGAAAAAAAUAACAACUUGAGAGUGGUGAAGCAAACAAUAAAAUGCAUACAUUCACCACUAGGAUGAAUUGUUGUGUUUUUGUUUGAUGUCUCGCGUUUUAAUUCUUAAGAACAUAUAACAUUUCAAAUAUGUAAAACCACACAUAAUAAUGAAAUACGUCACAUGACAUAUGAAUGUAGUUGAAAAGGUCACUCACCGUUAUCAUCUCUAAAA
Molecule: long non-coding RNA, 835 nt
Filed under: Brassica rapa (field mustard)
Lineage: Eukaryota; Viridiplantae; Streptophyta; Magnoliopsida; Brassicales; Brassicaceae
Description: long non-coding RNA (BRAP_LNC007848)
Source: RNAcentral